CACGUAGGGCGCAAGCGUUGUCCGGAAUUAUUGGGCGUAAAGAGCUCGUAGGCGGUGUGUCGCGUCGGUCGUGAAAACUUGGGGCUUAACCCUGAGCUUGCGGUCGAUACGGGCAUCACUGGAGUUCGGCAGGGGAGACUGGAAUUCCUGGUGUAGCGGUGAAAUGCGCAGAUAUCAGGAGGAACACCGGUGGCGAAGGCGGGUCUCUGGGCCGAUACUGACGCUGAGGAGCGAAAGCAUGGGGAGCGAACAGG
RNAcentral lists this ribosomal RNA (254 nucleotides) under uncultured bacterium. Its description in RNAcentral is "partial 16S ribosomal RNA". It matches the Rfam family "Bacterial small subunit ribosomal RNA", at positions 524 to 776 of the family's 1533-position model. The record is from RNAcentral.